UUUUCUAAAAUCAGAGAAUCCCUAGAUCUAAGAUCCUAUUACAUGAUUAUUACAUGGAAUUAAAUCAGAAAUUAAAAUAUAUAAAUAUAGCAUGAACUACAUGUUGAUCAUAUCAACAUGUUUUUAUACCACAUCUAAUGUAUGUAUUAAACAAUAGAUCAGAUCUAUUACCUUGCAAGUUAGACGCUCUAACCUCGCUGAUCCGGGCUUAAGGAUGAUGUUGCAAGCCGCACAUGCGUCCGGCCUCUAGGAGUCAUCCACAUGAGCCCACGAAUCUCGAUCAGAAGUCCUGCUUCAGGAAAUCAGCACAGUAUGCUAGUACUGCGCUGAUCCUUCUUUGAUGGUUGAU
This 349-nucleotide long non-coding RNA is filed under the name Elaeis guineensis (African oil palm). Its description in RNAcentral is "long non-coding RNA (EGUI_LNC062024)". Lineage: Eukaryota; Viridiplantae; Streptophyta; Magnoliopsida; Arecales; Arecaceae. The record is from RNAcentral.